UGCUCGAGUGGCGAACGGGUGAGUAACACGUGAGUAACCUGCCCUUGACUUUGGGAUAACUUCAGGAAACUGGGGCUAAUACCGGAUAGGAGCUCCUGCUGCAUGGUGGGGGUUGGAAAGUUUCGGCGGUUGGGGAUGGACUCGCUGCUUAUCAGCUUGUUGGUGGGGUAGUUGCUUACCAAGGCUUUGACGGGUAGCCGGCCUGAGAGGGUGACCGGCCACAUUGGGACUGAGAUACGGCCCAG
RNAcentral lists this ribosomal RNA (245 nucleotides) under uncultured Actinomycetales bacterium. Its description in RNAcentral is "partial 16S ribosomal RNA". It matches the Rfam family "Bacterial small subunit ribosomal RNA", at positions 88 to 334 of the family's 1533-position model. Lineage: Bacteria; Bacillati; Actinomycetota; Actinomycetes; Actinomycetales. The record is from RNAcentral.